Molecule: ribosomal RNA, 763 nt
Filed under: uncultured bacterium
Lineage: Bacteria
Description: bacterial SSU rRNA
Rfam family: Bacterial small subunit ribosomal RNA
Source: RNAcentral
CGACGGCAGCCGGGAGCAAUCCUGGUGGCGAGUGGCGAACGCGUGAGUAAUGUAUCGGAACGUACCUUUCAGUGGGGGAUAACGUAGCGAAAGUUACGCUAAUACCGCAUAUUCUGCGAGCAGGAAAGCAGGGGAUCGCAAGACCUUGCGUUGAUUGAGCGGCCGAUAUCAGAUUAGCUAGUUGGUGAGGUAAAGGCUCACCAAGGCGACGAUCUGUAGCGGGUCUGAGAGGAUGAUCCGCCACACUGGAACUGAGACACGGUCCAGACUCCUACGGGAGGCAGCAGUGGGGAAUUUUGGACAAUGGGGGCAACCCUGAUCCAGCCAUGCCGCGUGAGUGAAGAAGGCCUUCGGGUUGUAAAGCUCUUUCAGCCGGGAAGAAAACGCAUGGGUUAAUACCCUGUGUGGAUGACGGUACCGGAAUAAGAAGCACCGGCUAACUACGUGCCAGCAGCCGCGGUAAUACGUAGGGUGCGAGCGUUAAUCGGAAUUACUGGGCGUAAAGCGUGCGCAGGCGGUUUGUUAAGAUAGGCGUGAAAACCCCGGGCUCAACCUGGGAACUGCGUUUAUGACUGGCAGGCUAGAGUAUGGCAGAGGGGGGUGGAAUUCCACGUGUAGCAGUGAAAUGCGUAGAGAUGUGGAGGAACACCGAUGGCGAAGGCAGCCCCCUGGGCCAAUACUGACGCUCAUGCACGAAAGCGUGGGUAGCAAACAGGAUUAGAUACCCUGGUAGUCCACGCCCUAAACGAUGUCAACUAGGUGU